UGCGUAGGGCGCAAGCGUUGUCCGGAAUUAUUGGGCGUAAAGAGCUCGUAGGCGGCUUGUCACGUCGGGUGUGAAAGCCCGGGGUUUAACCCCGGGUCUGCAUUCGAUACGGGCUGGCUAGAGUGUGGUAGGGGAGAUCGGAAUUCCUGGUGUAGCGGUGAAAUGCGCAGAUAUCAGGAGGAACACCGGUGGCGAAGGCGGAUCUCUGGGCCAUUACUGACGCUGAGGAGCGAAAGCGUGGGGAGCAAACAGG
RNAcentral lists this ribosomal RNA (253 nucleotides) under uncultured bacterium. RNAcentral's name for it is "partial 16S ribosomal RNA". It matches the Rfam family "Bacterial small subunit ribosomal RNA", at positions 524 to 776 of the family's 1533-position model. The record is from RNAcentral.